This 54-nucleotide non-coding RNA is filed under the name unclassified sequences. RNAcentral's name for it is "Mu-gpT-DE RNA". It matches the Rfam family "Mu-gpT-DE RNA". The record is from Rfam by way of RNAcentral.
CCUUGACAGUCACAUGGUGUGGCUGACAUUUGCCAAGACAAGGAGUUUCUUAUG